This 416-nucleotide ribosomal RNA is filed under the name Salmonella enterica subsp. arizonae serovar 18:z4,z23:- str. CVM 43480. RNAcentral describes it as "bacterial LSU rRNA". It matches the Rfam family "Bacterial large subunit ribosomal RNA", at positions 493 to 909 of the family's 2925-position model. The record is from RNAcentral. Lineage: Bacteria; Pseudomonadati; Pseudomonadota; Gammaproteobacteria; Enterobacterales; Enterobacteriaceae.
AACCAGUACCGUGAGGGAAAGGCGAAAAGAACCCCGGCGAGGGGAGUGAAACAGAACCUGAAACCGGGUACGUACAAGCAGUGGGAGCAUGAGUUUACUCAUGUGACUGCGUACCUUUUGUAUAAUGGGUCAGCGACUUAUAUUCUGUAGCAAGGUUAACCGUAUAGGGGAGCCGUAGGGAAACCGAGUCUUAACCGGGCGUUAAGUUGCAGGGUAUAGACCCGAAACCCGGUGAUCUAGCCAUGGGCAGGUUGAAGGUUGGGUAACACUAACUGGAGGACCGAACCGACUAAUGUUGAAAAAUUAGCGGAUGACCUGUGGCUGGGGGUGAAAGGCCAAUCAAACCGGGAGAUAGCUGGUUCUCCCCGAAAGCUAUUUAGGUAGCGCCUCGUGAACUCAUCUCCGGGGGUAGAGCA